UCCGAUAGAAGGUCGAUCGGUAGUGGAUGUCGGAUGGCGCUGGAGAGGUUCACCCGCUGGAGGGAUCUGGUUGUUGGAGCCCAUGUGUCGUAGGAGUUCGUUCGGAAUCUGUCCGCUACAGAAGUUCGAUCGGAGUCUGGUUCCCGUAGAAGUUUGGAUGGGGAUCAUUUGUUGAGGAAGCUCGGCCGAAGCCUGCCUGCAAUAGAAGUUCGGAAGGAAUUCGUUCACAAUAGAAGCUCAGGUGGAGGCUUACAGUAGAAAUCUUACGUGGACCGCUCGUAGUAGAAAUUCGAAGUAGACCGCUUGUAGUGGUAUUUCGGAGUAGAUCGCUUGUAGUAGAAGCUCGGAGUAGAUCGCUUGUGGUGGGGGCUCGGAGCCCGACCCUUGUAAGAAUUCGGAUGAGGUCUACCUGCAAUAGGAGCUCAGGGCUGAAGUUCGGCUCCCGUAGGAGCUCGGAUGAAGUCUACCUACAGUAGG
RNAcentral lists this long non-coding RNA (477 nucleotides) under Elaeis guineensis (African oil palm). RNAcentral's name for it is "long non-coding RNA (EGUI_LNC077201)". Lineage: Eukaryota; Viridiplantae; Streptophyta; Magnoliopsida; Arecales; Arecaceae. The record is from RNAcentral.